CUUCUGCCGUUCCCCCUCUCUCUCUAUGUGGGAUGGAAAUUUCAAAAAGUAAUCAAAUCUUCAGGUAUUUCUUAAACACUAAUAAUCUUUCACAACACUCUAUUCUCUUGAUCUCUGAUUUCUAUUCCCAUUUCAAUACUUUAAUCCCAACCAUAAACCCUAGUUCUGUUUUCUUAAUGGUGGCUACAAUCUCACGUCUCAUCCAGAGAAAAUUUAAUCACACUGUCUACUUAUUUCAAUCAAUUUCAUUGUCAUCUGCUGCUCAAAGAACCACCGGUAAAUGUAGAUACUCUAAUAUCUUAAAUCUUGAUUUGUUAUUCUGCCCCAUUUUUCGUCGAUUUUUUACGGAUGAUUCUUUGGGGUCGUCGUCUAACCGGCGAUUGGUUUCGAAACAAGAGUAUGAAUUAGAGGAGUUAGAUAUUGGUGUUAAUCUUAAAUUUGGAUUAGAUAGAAGAAGAAAUGAGGCGAAGGAAAAGAAGGUUGUUCAAAUUGUAGAGUUGAUAAAAAGAGAUGAAAAUGAUUUGGGGAAUAAGAUUAAUCUGAUGGAUGUGAAUAUCUCUAUUGAUUUAGUUAGGGAUGUUUUUCGGCGCUUGAAUUAUGAUGGAGUAUCAGGUUUGCAUUUCUUUUGCUGGCUUAACGAGACACAUAUUGAUUUUAAGAGGAGUUCUGUGUUUUGUAGUAUGAUUAUUGAUAAUCUAGGUAGAAUAGAGGAUUAUGAAUCGAUGGUGCUUCUAUUUAAGGAUUUUUCUAGAAAAGGAAUUUGUUUAUCUGAAAAUGCAUCUGCGUUUCUAGCUGACUCUUUAGAGGAUGAAUUUAAAGGUGGGGAUAAUGUGAGAAAAAUUGUUGAAUUAUUAAAUGAAGCUGGGGGUUCGGCUGGGAGUUCUGGGAUAUUUUAUUUGAUUAAGAUGUUAUGUAUAUUGAAAGCUUUCGAUUUGGCUGUCUUUGUGAUGGAGGAAACAGCAAGGAGGACUUCUUAUUACAAUGUUCUCGUCUGGGCCAAGUGUCGUGGUAGUGAGUUUCAAGAAGCGAGGGAGUUGUUUGGUGAGAUGAAGAGAUUUGGUUGUUACCCGAAUUCCAAUACUUACAAUUAUUUGCUUGGUAGCCUCUGCAAGGAUGGAAGAAUUGGCGAAGCUUGUGGCUUGGUUGAGGUAAUGAAUGAAUUGGGGUAUAUGCCUGAUGCUAUUACCUUUGAGAUAUUCAUCUUUCAUGCCUGUCGACAAGAUAGGUUGGAUUUUGCAAUGGAAUUCCUUAAUCAGAUGAUUUCUGGAGGUCUUGAACCCCGGCUAACGACGCAUGCAGCUUUCAUCAAGGGUUACUUCAACUCUAACAGAUUCCAGGAAGCAUAUAAAUUCGUUGUUGAUAUGGCUGUGAAGUAUAAGUACUCUGCUAAUGUGAAUUAUAGUUUGCUUGCAAGCCUUCAUCAUAAAAAGGGAAAGUUGCUCGAUGCUCGAGAUAUUCUUGUUCUUAUGAUUGAAAUACGGCUCAAACCCAAUUUUCCUGUUUAUGUCAAAGUAUCAAAGGAUCUCUACAAAGCUGGUAUGAGCCAUUUGGCUGCGGAUCUCAAGAGUAGAUUCUCGAAGCUCAAUUCAGGCUGAGUGUAAAUUGUUGCGCAUACUCAUUUCAAGUUUUGCCAUGUAAUGUUAGUGAAUUUCCAGAUAAAAACAGCAAUGUUUUUCGCCUUCUAGAGAUGUAAAUAUAACCUCACAGCGAGUUUAAUGAGGAAGACAGCAAUUCAUUCUCAAGGAAUAAUACCCGUUUAACAUUUGGAGUUGUCAAUUGUUAUCAUUUUGUUUCCUUUGUGUGUGGCGGGAGUUUUAAGUAGAUGUUCACAGUGGGAAUGGAAUCUCCGAAUUUAGUUCUUCCAAAUACAAGCAACUCUUGUUCGAGGAUUCUAAUUUUCACUUGCAUUGCUUGGGAUAAACAACUGGAGAAGUCUCUCCAGGAAGUGAAAUGAAGGAAGAAGCGCUGCGGGCUGGGUUCACCGUACCUAUCACUAGUGAUUCAAUAUUAAACUCAGCUUUCCAAAAGAUAGUGUGAACUUUGGUUCAGCUCUUAGCUUCACAUCAGAGUUUGGUAUUUCAGUUGGAUUCUAGUGCUGAUUCAGUUGGUAGCAGGUAGAAUUCAAAAAUGCAUGAUGAUGCUAUUAGCCGAUCAGAUUAGGCAUGGCGCUUAGACUUGUUACUUGAUCCAUGUUAAGGGGGUUCUCAUGCGGUCCCAAGUUACCAGUCAAAGAUAUUGCUAAAGAGGUGCAGCAUCUUUCUAGAGAAAUGCAACUUCGUAAAACAUAUACCGAGCCUGCUACCAGAUGGUUCGUUAGGGGUGAGGGGGCUUUGGAAUACUACUCUCAGAUUUCUAAUGGGAAAUCAUAGAACCUGCAAUUUCUAUAACUGCAUUGCCAAUCUUUAAUAGUGAGAUGACAAGUUUUAUUAUGAUACCAUUGAAAUUGAAUGAUAUAUGUUGUGUUGUUUGAGUGGGUACAAGUAUUUGACGAGUUUUAAUGAUAUAUGUUGUGUUGUGUUACCAAGGUUUAUUAAUUGUAGCUAUUCCAGAGAAAUAUGGGAUAUAUCUGACCUUGGAAUAUCUAACCAGAUUCAGAAUAAAGACAUAUAUGUAUGGUUCUCUUCAGUGCUUUGUAAUGUUAUGCAAAGACAAACUUGUUUAUGAUGUGGUUUAUCUGGAAAAGAAGAUGUACCCUGGUUUUCGAGAAUCCUUUUAUUCCGGCAGUUAUGGUGGUCAACCAUAUUAAACAAUACAAGCUUGAUUGAGAAAAGUAUCUCUCUAGUAAGGCUACUAAUAGACACUCUGGCGUUGUCAGAGCGAACAGGAAUCUAACAUGGAGUAAACCUAGUUUUCCUUUUGUGAAGGAAAAUUUUGAUGCUAGCUUCCAUGAUAGUGCAAAUAAAUGUGGUAUUGGACUAAUUAUAUGCAGGUGAAUCUGAGGGCACGGCAAGUUUCCCACUAAUAGCCUGGGAUGAGGAGCAAGCUGAGGCGUUGGGUGCACUACAAGAAAUUAUCUGGGCGAAGGAGAGAAUAUUAGACAUCUGCAGCUGGAGGGUGAUAACAGCAUCAUUUUGUUUCUGUGUCUGUGGGGAGUUUUAAGUAGAUGUUCACAGUGGAAAAGGUAUCUUCAAAUUUUGUAUCUUUUAAACACAAAUAACUCCGGUUCUAGGAUUCCCGUGUCGCUUGCCGCUUGGGAUAAACAACCAGAGAAGUCUCUCCAGAAAAUGAAAUGUAGGAAGAAGUGCUAGUACUAGAUCUCUUCAUUAUUUCCAAUGGUGAUGUUGGCACUGCUGCUCGAUACGGCUCCCCGUAUAUACCUUCAGCUUGUUUCGGAAAUGAUCAAGCUCAAUUUCCUACCAGUAAUCUCUUUGGAUCAGCUGGAGAAGGAAUUUGGGAUAAUGGAGCGUCCUGUGGGAGGGAAUACCUUGUGAGAUGUAUCAGUUCUUCGAAGCAACAAGCGUGUAUUUCGGAUGUUACAAUUCAGAUUAAGAUUGUUGAUCGGGCAAAUACUUCUGUAUCUCAACCAUCGAGUCCAGGAACGACUAUUAUUCUCUCUGAACCUGCCUUUUCCAUGAUAGCUGAUGCAUCUGCUUCGACAGAUAUUAACAUCGACUUCCAGCAGGUCUGACACAGGGGCCGGCCCUGACAUAAAGUGGCCAAAGUUCAAUUUAACUUUGGGCAACAUAUUUUUAGGGCAUCAUUUUUUAUUUUAUUUUUGUCAAAACCUUUUUAAGGGUGUAUUUGUAGAUAAUUGAGAAUCUAUAUAAAUCCAUGGUAUUCAAAAUUUCAAACUAGAAUUAUAUAGUUUUAUACAAGAUGGUAGAUGGUGGUUUUAUAUGUAUUAGAAUGCACUCAUUUUUGGAUGGA
Molecule: RNA transcript, 3867 nt
Organism: Papaver somniferum (opium poppy)
Lineage: Eukaryota; Viridiplantae; Streptophyta; Magnoliopsida; Ranunculales; Papaveraceae
Gene name: EG45-like domain containing protein
Exons: 8
Source: RefSeq, a predicted model, not a curated record